CCUCUAAAAUAUUGAAGGUGAAACCUGCCCAAUGAUAUAAAAAUAAUUAUAACCUAAUUUAAAUAAUAUUAAAUGGAUGCAGUAACUCUGACUGUAGUAAAGUAGCAUAAUUAGUUGUCAUUUAAUUGAUGGAGAGAAUGAAUGGUUACACGAAUUUUCCACUGUCUUAAAAAAAAUUUUUUAAAAUUGAAAUAAUAGUUAAGAUGCUAUUUAAAAUUGUAAGACGAAGAGACCCUAUAGAGCUUUACUAUAAACUUUUUUUUAAAAAAAUAAUAAAAACUUAUUAAAAUUAAAAAGUUUGGUAGUUUAGUUGGGGCGACUGUUUUUUAAAAAUAACAAAAAUAAGCAAUAUAAUAAAUUUAUUUAUUGUAUAAUUAAACAAUUUAACAAUUACUAUAGUAGGCUAUAAUGACCCGUUAUCAUAAUAAAUAAUAGAUAACGAUUAAUUAAUAAAAGCUACCUUAGGGAUAACAGGAUAAUUUUGUUUUAGAGUCCUUAUCAAAAACAAAGUUUGUCACCUCUAUGUUGAAUUAAGAUAUCCUAGUAAUGCAGUAGUUACUGAAGGUAGGUCUGUUCGACCUUUAAAAU
RNAcentral lists this ribosomal RNA (588 nucleotides) under Hydra vulgaris (swiftwater hydra). Its description in RNAcentral is "partial 16S ribosomal RNA". It matches the Rfam family "Bacterial large subunit ribosomal RNA", at positions 1835 to 2594 of the family's 2925-position model. The record is from RNAcentral. Lineage: Eukaryota; Metazoa; Cnidaria; Hydrozoa; Anthoathecata; Hydridae.